Molecule: ribosomal RNA, 301 nt
Filed under: uncultured bacterium
Lineage: Bacteria
Description: partial 16S ribosomal RNA
Rfam family: Bacterial small subunit ribosomal RNA
Source: RNAcentral
CAGCCGCCGCGGUAAUACGAAGGGGGCUAGCGUUGCUCGGAAUCACUGGGCGUAAAGGGUGCGUAGGCGGGUCUUUAAGUCAGAGGUGAAAGCCUGGAGCUCAACUCCAGAACUGCCUUUGAUACUGGAGAUCUCGAGUUCGGGAGAGGUGAGUGGAACUGCGAGUGUAGAGGUGAAAUUCGUAGAUAUUCGCAAGAACACCAGUGGCGAAGGCGGCUCACUGGCCCGAUACUGACGCUGAGGCACGAAAGCGUGGGGAGCAAACAGGAUUAGAUACCCCCGUAGUCCCUGUCUCUUAUAC